GACGAACGCUGGCGGCGUGCUUAACACAUGCAAGUCGAACGGAAAGUCCCUGCUUUUGUGUGGUGCUCGAGUGGCGAACGGGUGAGUAACACGUGAGUAACCUGCCCUUGACUUUGGGAUAACUUCAGGAAACUGGGGCUAAUACCGGAUAUGAGCUCCUGCUGCAUGGUGGGGGUUGGAAAGUUUGGGCGGUUGGGGAUGGACUCUCGGCUUAUCAGCUUGUUGGUGGGUUAGUGGCUUACCAAGGCAUUGACGGGUAGCCGGCCCGAGAGGGUGACCGGCCACAUUGGGACUGAGAUACGGCCCAGACUCCUACGGGAGGCAGCAGUGGGGAAUAUUGCACAAUGGGCGGAAGCCUGAUGCAGCAACGCCGCGUGCGGGAUGACGGCCUGCGGGUUGUAAACCGCGUCCGCAUGUGACGAAGCGUGAGUGACGGUAAUGGGUAAAGAAGCACCGGCUAACUACGUG
Molecule: ribosomal RNA, 468 nt
Filed under: uncultured bacterium
Lineage: Bacteria
Description: partial 16S ribosomal RNA
Rfam family: Bacterial small subunit ribosomal RNA
Source: RNAcentral